GGGUUGUGAGGUUAAGCGACUAAGCGUACACGGUGGAUGCCCUGGCAGUCAGAGGCGAUGAAGGACGUGCUAAUCUGCGAUAAGCGCCGGUAAGGUGAUAUGAACCGUUAUAACCGGCGAUACCCGAAUGGGGAAACCCAGUGUGACUCGUCACACUAUCAUUAACUGAAUCCAUAGGUUAAUGAGGCGAAC
Molecule: ribosomal RNA, 192 nt
Filed under: Salmonella enterica subsp. enterica serovar Gaminara
Lineage: Bacteria; Pseudomonadati; Pseudomonadota; Gammaproteobacteria; Enterobacterales; Enterobacteriaceae
Description: partial 23S ribosomal RNA
Rfam family: Bacterial large subunit ribosomal RNA
Source: RNAcentral